UGGGGAAUAUUGCACAAUGGGGGAAACCCUGAUGCAGCAACGCCGCGUGAGCGAUGAAGGCCUUCGGGUCGUAAAGCUCUGUCCUAAGGGAAGAUAAUGACGGUACCUUAGGAGGAAGCCCCGGCUAACUACGUGCCAGCAGCCGCGGUAAUACGUAGGGGGCAAGCGUUAUCCGGAAUCAUUGGGCGUAAAGGGUGCGUAGGCUGCCCUAUAGGUCAGAGGUCAAAGGCUACGGCUCAACCGUAGUAAGCCUUUGAAACUGUAGGGCUUGAGUGCAGGAGAGGAGAGUGGAAUUCCUAGUGUAGCGGUGAAAUGCGUAGAUAUUAGGAGGAACACCAGUGGCGAAGGCGACUCUCUGGACUGCAACUGACGCUGAGGCACGAAAGCGUGGGUAGCGAACAG
This 402-nucleotide ribosomal RNA is filed under the name uncultured bacterium. RNAcentral describes it as "bacterial SSU rRNA". It matches the Rfam family "Bacterial small subunit ribosomal RNA", at positions 355 to 775 of the family's 1533-position model. The record is from RNAcentral.